RNAcentral lists this ribosomal RNA (158 nucleotides) under Bulbithecium arxii. RNAcentral's name for it is "Leucosphaerina arxii partial large subunit ribosomal RNA". It matches the Rfam family "Eukaryotic large subunit ribosomal RNA", at positions 99 to 261 of the family's 3401-position model. The record is from RNAcentral. Lineage: Eukaryota; Fungi; Ascomycota; Sordariomycetes; Hypocreales; Bionectriaceae.
CGGCAACAGCUCAAAUUUGAAAUCUGGCCCCAGGCCCGAGUUGUAAUUUGCAGAGGAUGCUUCUGGCGACGUGCCUUCCGAGUUCCCUGGAACGGGACGCCAUAGAGGGUGAGAGCCCCGUCCGGUCGUGCACCUAGCCUCUGUGAAGCUCCUUCGAC